Calidris pugnax (ruff) is the source of this 319-nucleotide long non-coding RNA. RefSeq lists it as uncharacterized. Lineage: Eukaryota; Metazoa; Chordata; Aves; Charadriiformes; Scolopacidae. The record is from RefSeq and is a predicted model, not a curated record. The transcript is spliced from 3 exons.
AGGUUGCUGUGUUCUUGGUCAUCACUGCAGUAGCUGAAAACUUGCUUUCAUGGGCCAGACAAGGCAAAAGCCAGAGCUGGGAGAUGUGCACUGACUGCCUGGUAUGGACACACUUGCAAGGACAAACUCGGUGCCUUCAAAGAAACUACCUGACGCUGGAUCAGCGUUCUCUGUCUGUCCAGUUUUGAAUUCCUAUUUUCAUGCUGAAGCUGCAACACCAGCUCCCUCCAAGUUCAAGAGGUUUAAUGAAUCCUGCUCUGGGAGCCCAUCGGCGUGAGGGCGGCGUGCCCCGUGGAGGUGCUGAGCUGGUGAUGCCGAG